Molecule: ribosomal RNA, 501 nt
Filed under: uncultured bacterium
Lineage: Bacteria
Description: partial 16S ribosomal RNA
Rfam family: Bacterial small subunit ribosomal RNA
Source: RNAcentral
AUUGAACGCUGGCGGCAUGCCUUACACAUGCAAGUCGAACGGCAGCACGGGUGCUUGCACCUGGUGGCGAGUGGCGAACGGGUGAGUAAUACAUCGGAACGUACCUUAUCGUGGGGGAUAACGCAGCGAAAGCUGUGCUAAUACCGCAUACGCCCUGAGGGGGAAAGCGGGGGAUCGCAAGACCUCGCGCGAUUAGAGCGGCCGAUGCCUGAUUAGCUUGUUGGUGGGGUAAAAGCCCACCAAGGCGACGAUCAGUAGCUGGUCUGAGAGGACGAUCAGCCACACUGGGACUGAGACACGGCCCAGACGCCUACGGGAGGCAGCAGUGGGGAAUUUUGGACAAUGGGGGCAACCCUGAUCCAGCAAUGCCGCGUGAGUGAAGAAGGCCUUCGGGUUGUAAAGCUCUUUUGUCAGGGAAGAAGCACCGGCUCUAACACAGUCCGGGAAUGACGGUACCUGAAGAAUAAGCACCGGCUAACUACGUGCCAGCCGCCGCCGUAA